AUAAUUUGUAUCUAGGGUUCCAGCUCUUUGACAUGACUGGGUGUUUGGUCCGAGAGAUACAGCCAGUCGAUUUCUCACAUCCAGAAAUACUGGUUCACGGAGGGAUAAAAGCCCGGGAGGC
RNAcentral lists this small RNA (121 nucleotides) under Leptolyngbya sp. Its description in RNAcentral is "Guanidine-I sequence". It matches the Rfam family "Guanidine-I riboswitch aptamer". From Rfam's summary of the family: This family represents a conserved RNA structure found upstream of the ykkC and yxkD genes in Bacillus subtilis and related genes in other bacteria. The function of this family is unclear although it has been suggested that it may function to switch on efflux pumps and detoxification systems in response to harmful environmental molecules. The record is from RNAcentral. Lineage: Bacteria; Bacillati; Cyanobacteriota; Cyanophyceae; Leptolyngbyales; Leptolyngbyaceae.